UAAAUAAUUAUUAAAACAGGUGUCGAUUGUAAUCCGUAGUAUUACGAAUCGCUUAAAAGGGAAGAUGGGUGAAAAUCCCACGCGGUCCCGCCGCUGUAAGAGAAGAGUUCCUCCAGGGAUGCCACUGUAGUGAUAUGGGAAGGUUGGAGGUAAUGUUGACGCUUGAGCCAGAAGACCUGCCUGUUAUGCAAAACUCUG
This 198-nucleotide non-coding RNA is filed under the name Acetobacterium woodii. Lineage: Bacteria; Bacillati; Bacillota; Clostridia; Eubacteriales; Eubacteriaceae. The record is from RNAcentral. RNAcentral also lists the same sequence under 1 other name.